UAUGCCUUCUUUUGAUAAUGUUUCAGUAUAAAUUGUGCACAAAUAAACCUCUUGAACUUUUAAUAAGACUCUGUUAAAUGUUAAAAAGACAAGCAGUACAAAAACAUUGUAAACAGCAGCACUUGUAGUUGCAAUGUCAGGUCCGACGGUGCCCCGACCGGCGACCUGUGUGUAUGUGUGUUUGUUCUCUCUCUCUCUCUCGCUCUGUUUCUCUCUCCGGCUCCGCUGCGAUUGUUACGCGGUUGCGUAGCAACGGGAGAUCUCCGACCCGGAAGUGCUGCCACUCUGAGCUGUCCCACCUGCGACUGAUUCCUCGCCAGCUGCUGCCAAUCAUCCACCAUCGUUGGCAGAGCUAUUUAAUGGUGUGGCUGAGUGACAGACAGCGCUGGAGUAUUCCACCAAACCUGGAAACGAACGAGACGGAGAGACGGGAGGUGAGACGUCACUAAUUCACGAGAGUUGUGUGGACACACGAGGGGAGCACUGAAGGGACUUUGCAAUGUGGAUAACUGUGGAUUGGCUUCACUGUAAAUAAAGACACUGUUCAACUUUAA
Molecule: long non-coding RNA, 554 nt
Organism: Oreochromis aureus
Lineage: Eukaryota; Metazoa; Chordata; Actinopteri; Cichliformes; Cichlidae
Exons: 2
Source: RefSeq, a predicted model, not a curated record